Molecule: ribosomal RNA, 1572 nt
Filed under: Thraustochytriidae sp. DT2
Lineage: Eukaryota; Bigyra; Thraustochytrida; Thraustochytriidae
Description: partial 18S ribosomal RNA
Rfam family: Eukaryotic small subunit ribosomal RNA (bases 1-955)
Source: RNAcentral
UCUCAAAGAUUAAGCCAUGCAUGUCUCAGUAUAAGCUACUUAUACGGUGAAACUGCGAACGGCUCAUUAUAUCAGUUAUAGUUUCUUUGAUAGUGUUUUUUCUACAUGGAUACUUGUGGCAAAUCUAGAAACAAUACAUGCUUCCAAGCCUGACUUUUCGGAGAAGGGCUGCAUUUAUUAGACUUAAACCAAUAUCUUUUCGGAGAUUGUUUUGGUGAUUCAUAAUAACUAAGCGAAUCGCACUUUUAGGCGAUGAAUCAUUCAAGUUUCUGCCCCAUCAGUUGUCGAUGGUAGGGUAUUGGCCUACCAUGACUAUCACGGGUGACGGAGAAUCAGGGUUCGAUUCCGGAGAGGGAGCCUUAGAGACGGCUACCACAUCCAAGGAAGGCAGCAGGCGCGUAAAUUACUCAAUGUCAACUCGACGAAGUAGUGACGAGAAAUAACCAUGGGGAGCCAUUUUGGUUUUCCAAUGGUAAUGAGAGCAAUGUAAAAACCUCAUCGAGGAUCAAUUGGAGGGCAAGUCUGGUGCCAGCAGCCGCGGUAAUUCCAGCUCCUAAAGUGUAUACUAACGUUGUUGCAGUUAAAAAGCUCGUAGUUGAACUAUUGGUUUGGGUGUUUGUGGCUCUUUGAAUGUAAAUUCAUUGUAUUUGCUCUUACGCCUUGCCAUCUUGGUUUUACAUUUAUUGUAACACCUCUCUCAGUGUAAAAAUAUUGGGGUGCUCCGCGCAUAGUGUUUGUGGUCAGAAUAUCUCAAUGGGGAGAAGAUAAUAUAAGGUGGUGGCGCUAUUGUGGGGGUGUGCACUAUCACAGAGUGAUUAACGGGCACUGGUGGGGGGUACUCAUUUUUUAGAUGUCAGAGGAGAAACUUCGGAUAUUCUAGAGAGACGAACUAGUGCAAGAGCUUUCACCGGGAGAUGUUCUCAUUACUCAAGAACGAGUUUUGGGGAGAUCAGAUGAUGAUUAUAUCACCCUCAGUACUCAUCACCCGUAAAACUAUCGCACAAUUUGAUAAUUGCCAAGAUGUUUUAUUUGGAAAAUGUGGGGCCACCACCACGAGGAAAAAAACAAAACUUUUUUGGUUUUCCGGGGGGGGGAAUUUGGGGCCCCAAAAAGGGGGAAUUUUAAGAGGUUUUUUGCCGGGGGGGGCCCCCCCCGAAGGGGGAGGACCCCCCGGGGGGUUUAUUUUUUUCCCCCCCCCGCGGGAAAAUACUUUUCCCGGGCCCCCACCACCUUAGGGGGGGGGGGUUCGCAAAUAAGAAGGAACCCCUCCUUCCUUAAAUAUUUAAAGGGGGUGGGUGGGGCCCGGGAGGGGCGGUCUCCUUAUUUUUUUGUGGAGGGAAGAUUAUUUUAUUUCGGGGGGUAAAACUUUUUAUCUUUAUUUAAAAAAAAAAACCCACCCGCCCCCUCCCCACAAAAAAAAAAAAAAGGGUGUGUUUUGGGGGUAAAAUACAAAAAAAAAAAAAAGAAAUUCUUUCAUAGGAAGCGAAAGACUUAUAUCUGGGUGGUUUUUCUCCUCCCCAGGAAAAAGAGAAUUCACUGCGGGGGGCGUUAUAACACAAAAGCCCGCGUUUG